AGAGUGAACGCUGGCGGCAGGCCUAACACAUGCAAGUCGAGCGGCAGCGCGGGGGCAACCCUGGCGGCGAGCGGCGGACGGGUGAGGAAUACAUCGGAAUCUACCUUGUUGUGGGGGAUAACGUAGGGAAACUUACGCUAAUACCGCAUACGACCUGAGGGUGAAAGCGGGGGACCGCAAGGCCUCGCGCGACAAGAUGAGCCGAUGUCCGGCUAGCUAGUUGGUGAGGUAAAGGCUCACCAAGGCGACGAUCGGUAGCUGGUCUGAGAGGAUGAUCAGCCACACUGGAACUGAGACACGGUCCAGACUCCUACGGGAGGCAGCAGUGGGAAUAUGGACAAGUGGGGGCAACCCGUGAUCCAGCCGAUGCCGCGUGUGUGAAGGAAGGCCGUUCGGUUGUAAAGUCUACGUUUGUCCGGUAAGAAAUCUCUACGUAUUUAAGUACGUA
Molecule: ribosomal RNA, 448 nt
Filed under: uncultured soil bacterium
Lineage: Bacteria
Description: bacterial SSU rRNA
Rfam family: Bacterial small subunit ribosomal RNA
Source: RNAcentral